CUCGUGACGGUGCCGGGCCCGACGGCGGCUGCGUGGGGAGGGCGGUCUCGGUGCCGGAGCUAAGAUGGCGGCCUCCAGCGCCAGGCGCUGAGGGAGCUGGAGCGGUGUAGCGGCUGCCGCCGGGGCAGCUGAAGGCUGAGGGGCGAGGGCUCCGCUCAGCAGCCCUUCGCCCUUAUCGCCGGCAGCGGCGGGAAGUGCGGUGCUGGUUGGGGGCAGGUCCGGGCAGCGCAAGGCUCCCCGGCCAGGGCUUGGCACAGCAUGAAUAUAAUUCGAGAAAACAGAGAUCUUGCUUGUUUCUACACAACAAAACAUUCAUGGAGGGGAAAGUAUAAGCGAGUCUUUUCAGUAGGAACCCAUGCCAUCACCACAUACAAUCCCAACACGCUAGAAGUUACAAAUCAGUGGCCUUAUGGAGAUAUCUGUAGUAUUUCCCCUGUUGGAAAAGGACAAGGAACAGAAUUUAGCCUCACUUUUCGGAAAGGGAGUGGAAAAAAGUCUGAAACUCUGAAGUUUUCCACAGAGCACAGAACAGAACUCCUUACAGAGGCACUGAGAUUCAGGACAGACUUCUCAGAAGGAAAAAUCACAGGAAGGAGAUACAACUGCUAUAAACAUCACUGGAGUGAUACGAGGAAAUCUGUGAUUCUGGAAGUGACUCCUGGAGGUAUUGACCAAAUUGAUCCUGCAACGAAUAAAGUCCUGUGCUCCUAUGACUACAGAAAUAUUGAAGGCUUUGUUGAUAUUGCUGGCUAUCAGGGAGGCUUCUGUAUCCUCUAUGGAGGAUUUAGUAGAUUGCACCUGUUUGCAUCUGAGCAGAGGGAGGAGAUUAUCAAAAGUGCAAUAGAACAUGCUGGCAACUUCAUAGGGAUCUCUCUGCGGAUAAGGAAAGAAUCCCUCGAAUUUGAGCAAUACUUGAAUGUUCGCUUUGGCAAAUACAGCACUGAUGAAUCUGUGACAUCUUUAGCAGAGUUUGUUGUUCAGAAAAUAACACCUAGACAUUUGGAACCUGUGAAAAGAGUGCUAGCUCUUACAGAAGCUUGCUUAGUUGAGCGGGAUCCAGCUACCUAUAACAUUGCAACUUUGAAACCUUUAGGCGAGGUAUUUGCAAUAGUAUGUGACUGUGAAAAUCCCCAGCUUUUUACCAUUGAAUUUAUCAAAGGACAAAUUCGGAAAUACUCUUCAACAGAGAGAGAUUCUCUCCUGGCUAGCUUGUUGGAUGGAGUGAGAGCUUCUGGUAAUAGAGAUGUUUGCGUGAAGAUGACCUCCACACACAAAGGCCAGCGUUGGGGAUUACUCAGUAUGCCUGUAGAUGAAGAAGUAGAGAGCCUUCAUCUGAGGUUUUUGGCUGCUCCUCCAAAUGGUAACUUUGCAGAUGCUGUGUUCAGGUUCAAUGCUAACAUUUCCUACAGUGGGGUACUACAUGCAGUUACACAAGAUGGUCUGUUCUCAGAAAACAAGGAGAAACUCAUUAAUAAUGCCAUAACAGCAUUGCUUUCACAAGAGGGAGAUAUUGCAGCAUCUAAUGCAGAGCUUGAAAGCCAAUUCCAAGCAGUAAGACGACUAGUGGCUUCAAAAGCAGGCUUCCUUGCCUUUACUCAGCUUCCAAAAUUCCGAGAACGGUUAGGAGUGAAGGUUGUGAAAGCCCUCAAAAGGAACAACGAUGGAGUAACCCAUGCCUCUAUUGACAUGCUUUGUGCUCUGAUGUGUCCCAUGCAUGAUGACUAUGACUUGAGGCAGGAGCAGCUGAACAAAGCUUCCCUUCUUUCUUCGAAGAAGUUUCUAGAAAACCUACUAGAGAAAUUCAAUUCCCAUGUGGAUCAUGGGACAGGUGCCCUAGUAAUUAGUUCACUUCUGGACUUCCUGACAUUUGCCCUAUGUGCUCCAUAUAGUGAGACUACUGAGGGGCAGCAGUUUGACAUGUUGUUGGAAAUGGUGGCAUCUAAUGGAAGAACACUAUUUAAGCUCUUUCAGCACCCUUCCAUGGCAAUUGUGAAAGGAGCAGGUUUGGUAAUGAAGGCAAUAAUAGAGGAAGGAGACAAAGAGAUUGCUACCAAAAUGCAAGAUCUUGCCCUCAGUGAAGGUGCCUUACCUCGUCACUUGCACACUGCUAUGUUUACAAUAAGCACAGAUCAGAGGAUGCUUACGAAUAGGCAGUUAAGUAGACAUUUGGUUGGCCUCUGGACAGCUGAGAACAAAACUGCCAUGAACUUGUUGAAACGUAUUUUGCCACCAGGUUUGCUGGCAUACCUUGACAGCGCUGAUCCUGUUCCUGAAAAAGAUGCUGAUAGGAUGCAUGUUAGAGAUAACUUAAAAAUUGCAACUGAUCAGUAUGGCAAGUUUAAUAAAGUGCCAGAGUGGCAGAGACUGGCUGGAAAAGCUGCAAAAGAAGUAGAAAAAUUUGCCAAAGAGAAGGUGGAUCUAGUCUUGAUGCACUGGAGAGACCGAAUGGGCAUAGCUCAAAAAGAGGACAGAAACAAUAUGAAUAUAAUUCAAAAGCCAGUGAUACUGAGGAAACGACGCCAAAGAAUAAAAAUAGAAGCAAACUGGGAUCUGUUCUAUUACAGAUUUCUUCAGGAUCAUGCUAGGUCAAACUUGAUUUGGAACUUCAAAACACGGGAAGAACUGAGAGAUACUCUUGAGUCUGAGAUGAGAGCAUUUAAUAUUGACAGAGAACUUGGUAGUGCUAAUGUUAUCUCAUGGAACCAUCAGGAGUUUGAGGUAAAAUACGAGUGCCUUUCUGAGGAAAUAAAAAUAGGGGAUUAUUAUCUAAGAUUGCUGCUGGAAGAAGAUGAAACAGAAGAGAGUGGAGCAAUCAAAAAAUCAUAUGAAUUCUUCAAUGAACUCUACCACCGCUUCUUGCUUACCCCAAAAGUGAAUAUGAAAUGCUUAUGUCUGCAAGCAUUGGCUAUAGUUUAUGGAAGAUGUCAUGAAGAAAUAGGACCGUUUUCUGAUACCAAGUACAUUGUCGGGAUGUUAGAAAGGUGCACUGACAGGCUUGAGCGGGACAGGUUGAUACUGUUUCUCAACAAGCUGAUCCUGAAUAAGAAAAAUGUGAAGGACCUUAUGGAUUCAAAUGGGGUUAGAAUCCUUGUAGAUCUGCUUACUCUAGCACAUCUUCACACAAGCAGAGCAACAGUCCCUCUGCAGAGCAAUGUGAUUGAGGCAGCACCUGAUAUGAAGAGGGAGAGCGAGAAAGAAUGGUACUUUGGCAAUGCUGACAAAGAAAGGAGUGGUCCUUACAGCUUUCAAGAGAUGCAGGAACUAUGGAACAGUGGAAAGCUGACUUCCAAAACACGUUGCUGGGCUCAAGGUAUGGAUGGCUGGCGACCAUUGCAGGUCAUCCCUCAGCUGAAGUGGUGCUUGCUUGCCAGCGGCCAGCCUGUAUUGAAUGAGACUGACCUUGCCACACUUGUACUCAACAUGCUCAUCACAAUGUGUGGAUAUUUUCCCAGCAGGGAUCAAGACAAUGCUAUUAUAAGACCUUUGCCUAGAGUGAAGAGGCUGUUGUCAGAUAGUACUUGCCUUCCUCACAUCACUCAGCUGUUACUGACUUUUGAUCCUAUCCUCGUGGAAAAAGUCGCUGUGUUGCUGCUUCAUGUCAUGCAAGAUAACCCUCAGUUACCUCGCUUUUAUCUGAGCGGGGUAUUCUUCUUUAUCAUGAUGUACACGGGUUCCAAUGUACUUCCUAUUGCAAGGUUUUUGAAAUACACACAUACAAAACAAGCUUUCAAGUCUGAAGAAACAAAAGGUCAAGAUAUAGUUCAAAGAAGUAUACUUGGACAUGUUCUUCCUGAAGCAAUGGUGUGUUACUUGGAAAACUAUGAACCAGAAAAGUUUUCAGAGAUUUUCCUUGGAGAGUUUGACACUCCAGAAGCAAUUUGGAGCAAUGAAAUGAGGCGUCUUAUGAUAGAGAAGAUUGCGGCUCAUCUUGCUGACUUCACUCCUCGUCUUCAGAGCAAUACAAGAGCACUCUACCAGUACUGUCCAAUCCCAGUUAUCAACUAUCCACAACUGGAAAAUGAGCUCUUCUGUAACAUUUAUUACCUCAAACAUCUCUGUGAUACAUUCAGGUUUCCAGACUGGCCAAUUAAAGAUCCAGUUAAACUCUUGAAAGAUACACUAGAAGCUUGGAAAAAGGAGGUAGAAAAGAAGCCACCUACCAUGUCAAUAGAUGAUGCUUAUGAAGUCCUUAACCUUCCCAAAGGACAAGGCCAGCAUGAUGAAAGCAAGAUCAGGAAAGCUUAUUUCAGGCUGGCACAAAAAUACCACCCAGACAAGAAUCCAGAAGGCAGGGAUAUGUUUGAGAAAGUAAAUAAAGCAUAUGAGUUUCUGUGCACAAAGUCUGCCAAGGUGAUAGAUGGGCCAGAUCCAGAAAACAUAAUUUUGAUCUUGAAAACUCAAAGCAUCCUCUUCAACAGGCAUAAGGAAGAGUUAAAACCUUACAAGUAUGCAGGCUAUCCUAUGCUGAUAAAGACUAUUAACAUAGAAACAUCAGAUGACCUUUUGUUUUCCAAAGAAUCUCCUCUGUUGCCUGCUGCUACAGAACUUGCUUUUCAUACUGUCAAUUGCUCAGCGUUAAAUGCAGAGGAACUGAGAAGAGAAAAUGGAAUUGAGGUAUUGCAAGAAGCAUUUAAUCGUUGUGUAGCAGUCCUGACUCAUUCUAGUAAACCAGAUGAUAUGUCUGUGCAGGUAUGUGGCUAUGUUAGUAAGUGUUACAGUGUGGCAGCUCAGUUUGAGGAGUGCAGAGAGAAGAUUACAGAAAAGCCUAACAUCAUUAAGGACCUCUGUAGACUACUGUAUUAUGGCAAGAAUAUACCACGAGUAGCUGCUUUGGGAGUAGAGUGUGUGAGCUCCUUUGCCUUAGACUACUGGCUACAAACACACUUAUUCCAAGCUGGAGUUCUCUGGUACUUACUGGGUUACCUCUUCAACUACGACUAUACACUAGAAGAGAGUGGUAUUCAGAAAAGUGAAGAUUCAAAUCACCAGGAGGUAGCAAAUAGCCUUGCUAAGCUCAGUCUCCUGGCCCUGAGUCGCCUUGGAGGCUAUCUGUCUGAAGAACAAGCUACACCUGAAAACCCAACGAUCAGGAAAAGCUUGGCUGGAAUGCUGACACCCUACAUUGCAAGGAAGCUCUCUGUGGUCAGUCCUACUGAGACUCUGAAGAUGCUUAACAGUAACACAGAGAACCCCUACUUAAUCUGGAACAAUGGGACAAGAGCUGAACUAGUUGAGUUUUUGGAAUCUCAACAAGAAAGCAUGAUUAAGAAAGGUGAUUGUGACAAGAGCUAUGGAUCUGACUUUGUCUUCAGUGACCAUGCAAAGGAACUUAUUGUGGGAGAGAUUUUUGUUAGAGUCUACAAUGAGGUCCCUACCUUCCAACUAGAGCUUCCUAAAGCAUUUGCUGCAAGCCUCUUGGAUUACAUAGGCUCACAAGCACAGUACCUUCAUACGCUAAUGGCAAUAACCCAGACGGGGAAAGUCGAGUCCAAUCAACAUGGAGAUCGGUUACGGAGAGUUGAGAUGGCCCUGGAGGCUCUGAGAAACGUGAUAAAACACAACCCAGGUUCUGAGUGUGAAUGCAUAGGUCACUUUAAGUUGAUAUUCUCCCUUCUGCGUGUUCAUGGAGCUGGCCAGGUGCAGCAGUUGGCUCUGGAGGUGGUGAACAUAGUGACAAGUAACCAAGAAUGUGUUAACAACAUUGCUGAGGCAAUGGUUCUUGCGAACUUACUGGCACUCCUGCAUUCCUUACCUUCAAGUCGGCAGCUCGUCCUUGAGACUUUGUAUGCUUUGACAUCUAGCACAAAAAUAAUCAAAGAGGCCAUGACAAAAGGUGCUUUAAUCUACUUACUAGAUAUGUUUUGCAACUCAACUCACCCGCAGGUUCGAGCCCAAACAGCAGAGCUCUUUGCCAAAAUGACUGCAGAUAAACUGGUGGGUCCAAAGGUUAGAAUUACACUGAUGAAGUUUUUACCUGGAGUCUUCAUGGAUGCCAUGAGAGACAACCCUGAAGCUGCCGUUCAUAUCUUUGAGGGAACUCAUGAAAAUCCCGAGUUAAUCUGGAACGACAACUCCAGGGAGAAAGUAUCAACAACAGUUCGAGAAAUGAUGCUUGAGCACUUUAAACUUCAGAGGGACAACCCUGACACUAACUGGAAGCUUCCUGAAGACUUUGCUGUGGUGUAUGGUGAGGCAGAAGGUGAACUUUCAGUGGGGGGAGUCUUCCUAAGGAUUUUUAUUGCCCAGCCGGCCUGGGUUUUGCGGAAACCAAGAGAAUUUCUCAUUGCACUGUUGGAAAAGUUUACUGAACUGCUGGAGAAGAAUAACCCCCAUGGGGAAACUUUAGAAACCAUUACCACAGCAACUGUGUGCCUGUUCAGUGCCCAGCCUCAGCUGGCUGAUCAAGUUCCUCCACUUGGUCAUCUUCACAAGAUAAUCCAAGCUAUGAAUCACAAGAACAACGCCAUUCCUAAAAGUGCCAUUCGUGUGGUGCACAUACUGUCUGACAAUGAGCUUUGUGUUCGAGCAAUGGCAUCACUAGAGACCAUCAGCCCUCUCAUGAAUGGAAUGAAAAAGAGAUCAGAUAUAGUUGGUGUAGCCUGUGAAGCACUUAAUCGAAUGUUUCAGAAGGAACAAAAUGACUUGGUGGCCCAAGCUCUGAAGGCAGAUUUGGUCCCCUACCUUCUAAAGCUGCUUGAAGGGGUUGGUCUCGAGAACCUGGAAAGCCCAGCUGCAACAAAAGCUCAGAUUGUUAAAACUCUGAAGUCCAUGUCUCGCAGCCUGCAGUAUGGAGAGCAGGUAAAUGAAAUCCUGUCUCGUUCUUCUGUGUGGAGUGCCUUCAAGGAUCAGAAACAUGACUUGUUCAUUUCUGAGACACAAACAGCAGGAUACCUCACAGGUGUCUCUUCUCCUUCCCUUCUAACUGGCAGCAGUCCCCUUCACCUGAGAAGUGGGCUUUAGAUCUGCUCUGCCAGGCAGCUUGCUCACUUCUGUGUAGCUCUCUAAAGCAGGCCCUGGAGUCGCUGGUUACCUCACUGCAGGGACGACAGCAUCUGUAAUGCCCCACGUACCACCCCCGGUAGACAACGAAGUGGGAGAUGGCAGCUAAGGACUGCAGACCUGUGUGAAAGAGGCAAAGGCAGCGUGGCCAGUGAUGAGGAACAGCAAUUUCCUCCAACGCUCUGAAGUGAACUUACUGCCUUUUCCAAGUGUUUAUGACAGUGUUAUUCCUUUUUCUAAGACUUGUUUGGUUCUUCUUUUUUUAGGGAAAAGUCAGUGAUUCUGUCACACUGUACCACAAGGAAGCACUCUGUGGAUCAGCUGAAAUGGGUACACAAGAAGUUUUUUUUCUUGUUGUACGUAAGCACAUUUUGUUCCUUUCUAUUUGUUUACAAGACUGUGAAUCAAACUUUCCUAGUUUUUAUAUUUUAUGAAUUAGCACGACUGGAGUUGAGCUACAGUCUAGAGGAAUUGGGCUAAAAUCACUUUGACCUCACCCACCCCCACUAAAAGGGCAUCCCUCCCUCUUCCCAGUCUGACAUGAUCACUCCCAUUGAACAUGACUUGCAAAGGGUUUGUCCCUGCACCGGUUCACUGAUGUCCUUAAUCAUUAACAUUCUCUUCUUCCUGAGAUCAGACACCAUUAGACAUUCGUAUGUAUAACUGGCUUGACCAAAUUGACAGAGCUUCAGCAAAAAAACAACCUUAAAGUUGACGUUAUGUAAGAAAUUAGUGUAAUUGUGAAAUGUUCUAUACAUUAUCCAGUAUAUAAAAACUUUCUAUAUUGAGUGUACAUUAUACAGAUCAUUCAUAUGUACAGAAAAUUUUAAAAUAAAGGGAAUUAAGAGCCUUGUUAAUGAGAGAAAA
This is an RNA transcript of Pezoporus occidentalis (night parrot), 7866 nucleotides long. It is a transcript of the gene named DnaJ heat shock protein family (Hsp40) member C13, with no coding region annotated. Lineage: Eukaryota; Metazoa; Chordata; Aves; Psittaciformes; Psittacidae. The transcript is spliced from 58 exons. The record is from RefSeq and is a predicted model, not a curated record.